AAAGGGCCCUGACAAGAGGAUGGGACUGCAGUUGUGGCUGCCAGGGCCCCGGCCAGGGUGAAAACAAGGAACAUUCCAGAGAAGAUCACAAGGAUGCGAAUAAAAUCGGAGCUGCACAGGGAUCUUUGGGCUGUAAUAGGAGGGGACACACAGGGGUUAGGGGAGGGUCUAGCCCUUGGCUCCCUCAGCCCAGCCCUCCUGUCACCUUGCCUCUCCCCUUUCCCCCACCUUAUUCUAUCCCACCCGCCACCGUUGGCCAACUCCUCUCCUAAACAGUGGACUCUGCUUUUUCCCCUCCUCUUAUCCCUAAUCCUAGGAGCUUUCUGUCUGGCUUCCCUCCUGGCCCCUCGUGUAUGCAUUCUCUCUAGCGGUGGGGAUUAAGGAGAAAACUCACGUGGCCAGUGGGUAGAGAGAGUCCGGGCAGGCAGCUGCCUGAAGUCAGCCAGAGUCUGCAUGUGCCCAGCUGUCCUGGCCUCCAGCAUCUCUGGAAAAACAGAGACAGAAUGAGUAGCAGCAGGGGACCCCAUAGGGCACAUCUGAAGGCCUGAGAGGUGCUGGAUGGGAUGGGAAGGCAGAAACAGGCUGACCUUAUCUAGGGGUAGGAGUGGGGAGUACUGGUUGGGGUAUCACCGCUACCCCACGUGAUGGCACAGAGAGUUGCCUGGAACUUACCACUGACAUAAGGUUGGAGUGCAGUGGCACGAUCUCGGCUCAGUGCAACCUCCGCCUCCUGAGUUCAAGUGAUUCUCCUGCCUCAGCCUCCCUAGUAGCUGGGAUUACAGGACAAGGAGAGGGACAAAUUCCUUCUUGGCAUCCUUAUGGCCCUGUGACCUGCUAAUGAAUGCUGACUCUGAGUUGCUACUAGAAUUUGGUUUCCUUGUGGCUUCCCAGGAAUUGGUCUCACUCUGCUCACUCUGUCUCCCAAGCUGGAGUGCAGUGGUACAGUCACGGCUCACUGCAGCCUCCACUUCCUGGACUCAAGUGAUCUUCUCACUUCAGCCUUCUGAGUAGCUGGGACUACAGGUAGACCCAGUGUAAUCACAAGCAUCCUUGUAAGUGGCAAAGAGGCAGAGGAGACAGCGCCAGAGAGGCAGCUGCAUGAGAAGGAUCAAGAUGUUGCUGACUUUGAAGUUGGAAGAAGAAGGCCAUGAGCCUCAGUAUGUGGGCGGCUUCUAGAAGCUGGAAGGGGCAAGGAGAUGGAUUUGACCCUUCAGCCUCCAGGGGCAGCUGUACCUGCCAUCACUGAUUGUAGCCUGGUGAGGCCUGUUUUAGACUUCUGACCUGUAGAGCUGUAACAUAAUACAUUUGGGUUGUUUUCAACCACUAAGUUUGUGGUAAUUUGUUGUAGCAGCUGUAGAAAAUGAAUACAUAUGAAUCCUCUGGCAUUUGUUUGAGAUUUGCUCUAUGGCCUAGUAUGUGGUUGUAAAUGUUCCAUCUGUGCCUGAAAAAAUGUAUAUUUCU
RNAcentral lists this long non-coding RNA (1461 nucleotides) under Homo sapiens (human). RNAcentral describes it as "lncAB130.2". Lineage: Eukaryota; Metazoa; Chordata; Mammalia; Primates; Hominidae. The record is from RNAcentral.